Molecule: ribosomal RNA, 592 nt
Filed under: uncultured bacterium
Lineage: Bacteria
Description: bacterial SSU rRNA
Rfam family: Bacterial small subunit ribosomal RNA
Source: RNAcentral
UACUCCUACGGGAGGCAGCAGUAGGGAAUCUUCGGCAAUGGACGGAAGUCUGACCGAGCAACGCCGCGUGAGUGAAGAAGGUUUUCGGAUCGUAAAGCUCUGUUGUAAGAGAAGAACGAGUGUGAGAGUGGAAAGUUCACACUGUGACGGUAUCUUACCAGAAAGGGACGGCUAACUACGUGCCAGCAGCCGCGGUAAUACGUAGGUCCCGAGCGUUAUCCGGAUUUAUUGGGCGUAAAGCGAACGCAGGCGGUUAGAUAAGUCUGAAGUUAAAGGCUGUGGCUUAACCAUAGUACGCUUUGGAAACUGUUUAACUUGAGUGCAAGAGGGGAGAGUGGAAUUCCAUGUGUAGCGGUGAAAUGCGUAGAUAUAUGGAGGAACACCGGUGGCGAAAGCGGCUCUCUGGCUUGUAACUGACGCUGAGGCUCGAAAGCGUGGGGAGCAAACAGGAUUAGAUACCCUGGUAGUCCACGCCGUAAACGAUGAGUGCUAGGUGUUGGGUCCUUUCCGGGACUCAGUGCCGCAGCUAACGCAUUAAGCACUCCGCCUGGGGAGUACGACCGCAAGGUUGAAACUCAAAGGAAUUGACGGA